This 404-nucleotide ribosomal RNA is filed under the name Staphylococcus cohnii. Its description in RNAcentral is "bacterial SSU rRNA". It matches the Rfam family "Bacterial small subunit ribosomal RNA", at positions 63 to 457 of the family's 1533-position model. The record is from RNAcentral. Lineage: Bacteria; Bacillati; Bacillota; Bacilli; Caryophanales; Staphylococcaceae.
CGAGCGACAGAUAAGGAGCUAGCUCCUUUGACGUUAGCGGCGGACGGGUGAGUAACACGUGGGUAACCUACCUAUAAGACUGGAAUAACUCCGGGAAACCGGGGCUAAUGCCGGAUAACAUUUAGAACCGCAUGGUUCUAAAGUGAAAGAUGGUUUUGCUAUCACUUAUAGAUGGACCCGCGCCGUAUUAGCUAGUUGGUAAGGUAACGGCUUACCAAGGCAACGAUACGUAGCCGACCUGAGAGGGUGAUCGGCCACACUGGAACUGAGACACGGUCCAGACUCCUACGGGAGGCAGCAGUAGGGAAUCUUCCGCAAUGGGCGAAAGCCUGACGGAGCAACGCCGCGUGAGUGAUGAAGGUCUUCGGAUCGUAAAACUCUGUUAUUAGGGAAGAACAAAUGUG